CAUAGCGACUAUCGUGGCAUAUCAAUAAGCGGAGGAAAAGAAACUAACUAGGAUUCCCUCAGUAACGGCGAGUGAAGCGGGAAGAGCUCAAAUUUGAAAUCUUCAAGGUUCUACCUUGACGAAUUGUAGUUUAAAGAAGUGUUUUCUGUUGGAGUUUUGGUAAAAGUUCUUUGGAAUAGGACAUCAUAGAGGGUGAGAAUCCCGUAUUUGACCAUUAUCUUCCAACUUUGUGAUACACUUUCAAAGAGUCGGAUUGUUUGGGAAUGCAGUCCAAAAUGGGUGGUAAAUUUCAUCUAAAGCUAAAUAUUGGCGAGAGACCGAUAGCGAACAAGUACCGUGAGGGAAAGAUGAAAAGAACUUUGAAAAGAGAGUUAAACAGUACGUGAAAUUGUCAAAAGGGAAGCGUUUGACACCAGUGUUGUUUUCUCGAAAAUCAAUUAAAAAUGGCCGGGAUUUUGUGUUGUAUUGACUUUAUCAGCUUUCUGCACUUUUUUCUUGUCUUUUUUAAUGCACUUUUCGUUUAACAAGUCAACAUCAAUUUCUUUUGUUGUAAAAGAGUCAUUGGAAGGUGGCUUUCAUUUUCGGAUGAAAGUGUUUAUAGGCCUUUGACUUCUGCAAUCGGAGAGAUUGAGGUCUGCAGCGUAGAUCCUUCGGGGUUAGAUACAUUUGUGCUAAGUUAUAGUUUUUCAUAGACAACAUGUUGACUAUGAUUAAUCAUGUAGCUUACUCGCUUAUGCUAUUUUACCUACGCUUAGGAUGUUGAAGAUAUGCGCGACACG
This 779-nucleotide ribosomal RNA is filed under the name uncultured Neocallimastigales. RNAcentral describes it as "partial large subunit ribosomal RNA". It matches the Rfam family "Eukaryotic large subunit ribosomal RNA", at positions 22 to 644 of the family's 3401-position model. The record is from RNAcentral. Lineage: Eukaryota; Fungi; Neocallimastigomycota; Neocallimastigomycetes; Neocallimastigales.